Molecule: ribosomal RNA, 253 nt
Filed under: uncultured bacterium
Lineage: Bacteria
Description: partial 16S ribosomal RNA
Rfam family: Bacterial small subunit ribosomal RNA
Source: RNAcentral
UACGGAGGGUGCGAGCGUUGUCCGGAAUCAUUGGGCGUAAAGGGCGCGUAGGUGGCGGGACAAGCGUGCGGUGAAAGCUCGGGGCUCAACCCCGAGUCGGCCGUGCGAACUGUCUUGCUUGAGCACUGUAGAGGCAGGCGGAAUUCCGGGUGUAGCGGUGAAAUGCGCAGAUAUCGGGAGGAACACCGGUGGCGAAGGCGGUUCUCUGGGCCUUACCUGACGCUGAGGAGCGAAAGCGUGGGGAGCGAACAGG